GGUUGAUCCUGCCAGUAGUCAUAUGCUUGUCUCAAAGAUUAAGCCAUGCAAGUCUAAGUAUAAGUUUUUAUAUAACGAAACUGCGAAUGGCUCAUUAAAACAGUUAUAGUCUCUGUGAAAUUAAUUACUACACGGAUACCUGUGGUAAUUCUGGAGCUAAUACGUGCAUCAACAUCCUGUACCUUGUGUCGGGAUGGCACUUAUUAGAUAAAGAACCAACCCAUGCUUGCAUGGAGAACUGGUGAUCCAUAAUAAUCUAGUGAAUCGCAUUGCUACGGCAAGCGAUAGUUCA
This 292-nucleotide ribosomal RNA is filed under the name uncultured eukaryote. RNAcentral describes it as "partial 18S ribosomal RNA". It matches the Rfam family "Eukaryotic small subunit ribosomal RNA", at positions 6 to 297 of the family's 1831-position model. The record is from RNAcentral.